Molecule: non-coding RNA, 698 nt
Organism: Nicotiana tabacum (common tobacco)
Lineage: Eukaryota; Viridiplantae; Streptophyta; Magnoliopsida; Solanales; Solanaceae
Source: RefSeq, a predicted model, not a curated record
UUUGGAGCACAUGGCAGAUUUUAUUCCCUAUAUAUAGGACCUCUUAUUUUCUCACAAACACAUGUUAAUCACUCAGCAUUUCUCUCAAAUACAGACUGAUUUUUAUACACAAAAAUCUCUCUGCACUCUUUCUUGCUCCCAAAAACGAAAACACUCACAAGGAGUCAAUAUAUAGCUAGAAACCAACAAAAAGAAGAAAGUUGUUUUCCUCUUCAUUUUUACUGGUUUAUUCUAGUUCUAUGGGGAUUUCAAAUCAGCUCUCGGUUCUUUGGUUCUUGUUGAUUUCCUGAUGCUGCGUUUGUUCUUGUUGUUGCCGUCUUCCAAUUCAGAGAUCUAUUUUCUAUUUUUUGUGUUCUGUUGCUACCUUCUGCUGAUAGCCAUGCCUAUUGUCGUUGCUUCUGUAUACUUAUACGGAUGGAGUUCAAGUAUGGCAUUCAAGAUGAAAUUGGAUGCAUGAAGGGCUACUAAGUCAAAUGUUUAAGUGUUCUUAUUCAUGUUUAGAUUAGAGAAUUUCAGUGUAUGUAGGAGUUCUGUAGUGUAAACAGGUUUAAAUUCUGAUUUUAGUAUGAAUAAUUUGAAACAUCUCAUGUGCUAAGAUUUGUAACUAAUUUUUCUAUGCUUGUGGCGUAUUGAAAUGAUCAUGCGCCGGUUUAAACUUGCGAUGAAUUUGAAUUCCAGUUUAUUUAUAUUAUUUCUGA